RNAcentral lists this ribosomal RNA (250 nucleotides) under uncultured Porphyrobacter sp. Its description in RNAcentral is "partial 16S ribosomal RNA". It matches the Rfam family "Bacterial small subunit ribosomal RNA", at positions 524 to 773 of the family's 1533-position model. The record is from RNAcentral. Lineage: Bacteria; Pseudomonadati; Pseudomonadota; Alphaproteobacteria; Sphingomonadales; Erythrobacteraceae.
UACGGAGGGAGCUAUCGUUGUUCGGAAUUACUGGGCGUAAAGCGCACGUAGGCGGCUUUUUAAGUCAGGGGUGAAAUCCCGGGGCUCAACCCCGGAACUGCCCUUGAAACUGGGAAGCUAGAAUCUUGGAGAGGCGAGUGGAAUUCCGAGUGUAGAGGUGAAAUUCGUAGAUAUUCGGAAGAACACCAGUGGCGAAGGCGACUCGCUGGACAAGUAUUGACGCUGAGGUGCGAAAGCGUGGGGAGCAAAC